AUACAUGUGCCGGACUUAUAAACUGAAACGGAGGGACUAUAUGUUCUUAUUAGUUCAGUAUUUGAUAUGUGGGCUAUGUGUCCACAACGAUAUUAAAUUUAUUUUUUAUGGGGGAGGGAUCAUCACAAUGGCUUGCCAUUGGGUCCCUCUACAGCCCAGGCAGGCGCACCCCAA
RNAcentral lists this small nuclear RNA (174 nucleotides) under Hordeum vulgare. RNAcentral describes it as "U2 spliceosomal RNA". It matches the Rfam family "U2 spliceosomal RNA". From Rfam's summary of the family: U2 is a small nuclear RNA (snRNA) component of the spliceosome (involved in pre-mRNA splicing). The record is from RNAcentral. Lineage: Eukaryota; Viridiplantae; Streptophyta; Magnoliopsida; Poales; Poaceae.